GGAUAGCAAAGGGAGGAACUUUUGGACGCUGACACUGAUCAAUGGACUUUAAGUAUUCAACUGUUGGAGAAGAUGUCGGUCAUCCUUUGAAGUGUAGCCGAGUAUAGAAAACUACGGCAUUUUGAUGUACCGACUAAAGAUGUCCAUUUGCUCUAUGUAAAUAAACGUAUUCGGUUUUAACUUAUAUAAGAUGUUUAGUAGGUG
This 204-nucleotide long non-coding RNA is filed under the name Eucalyptus grandis. RNAcentral's name for it is "long non-coding RNA (EGRA_LNC005474)". Lineage: Eukaryota; Viridiplantae; Streptophyta; Magnoliopsida; Myrtales; Myrtaceae. The record is from RNAcentral.